CGGGACGGCUCUCGGCUGCCCCUGGCGCUCCCGCCUCCUAUCUUUUAGCCAAAAUCCCGCCCAAAGACAUUUCUGCUGGGCAAUGGUGCAACGCCCCCUACCCACGCCCUCGGGGUUCAGAAUCCCCUGCUCCGGACUCCAGAGACGUGUUCGCCUGGCUCGAGCGGGCGGGUGAGUUUCCACAAGCGCCACUAGGGCCCUCGGGUGGACCCUCGAAGGCCCCCUAGCCACCCACGCUCUCAGGCGAGUGCGGGAAGCUGGGGCACUCACCCAGCCAGAGAGAGCAGGAGUCCGCACUGCAAGAGGCAGCAGCAGCCUGGCCUCGCACCCUGUGCUCGAGGCUAUUUUCCUCCUUCCUACUUUUCCUGGUGUACCAUGAAGAGCUUCAAUGCAGGUCCCUUAAGCUCCGCACUUCUCUGAAGGCACCACACUGUCCUUGCCAGAAGAUCUUAGCGCGCUGACCCCAGGCUGGCUCAGGAACGGGACUCUGGGGUUCCUUGGCGCGGUGCCCUCCUUCCAGGCGACAGCGGUGCUGCUGGAGGAGGUUGGAGCCUUGGGCUGCAGGUACCCUACUCCCAGUCCGUGACUCGGUGGCCCAGGGUGCAGGAUGAGAGGCGCAAGCAGGGGCGGCGGGAAUGAGGAUUACAUAAGAAGGGAAAGUGACACCGUGGGAAGUGAAAACUGCUCUGGUCCUGGAAUCAUAAGACCUGAUUUGGAUCCUGGCUGUGUCAUGUACAAGCUGAAUGACCUUGAGCAAGUAGCUGAACAACUUUGAGCUCCACUUUUCUCCUCUGAAAAGUUUACAUUUCCCCAGUAUUGGUAGAAAAAAAUAAAAAAGAGAGAGAUGAA
Long non-coding RNA from Sciurus carolinensis (gray squirrel), 849 nucleotides. RefSeq lists it as uncharacterized. The transcript is spliced from 3 exons. Lineage: Eukaryota; Metazoa; Chordata; Mammalia; Rodentia; Sciuridae. The record is from RefSeq and is a predicted model, not a curated record.